This 425-nucleotide ribosomal RNA is filed under the name uncultured Actinomycetes bacterium. RNAcentral's name for it is "bacterial SSU rRNA". It matches the Rfam family "Bacterial small subunit ribosomal RNA", at positions 958 to 1385 of the family's 1533-position model. The record is from RNAcentral. Lineage: Bacteria; Bacillati; Actinomycetota; Actinomycetes.
AACGCGAAGAACCUUACCAAGGUUUGACAUGCAGGGAAAGCCGUAGAGAUACGGUGUCCGUAAGGGUCCUGCACAGGUGGUGCAUGGCUGUCGUCAGCUCGUGUCGUGAGAUGUUGGGUUAAGUCCCGCAACGAGCGCAACCCUCGUCCUAUGUUGCCAGCGGGUAAUGCCGGGGACUCAUAGGAGACUGCCGGGGUCAACUCGGAGGAAGGUGGGGAUGACGUCAAGUCCUCAUGCCCCUUAUGUCUUGGGCUGCAAACAUGCUACAAUGGCCAGUACAAAGGGUUGCGAGACCGCAAGGUGGAGCGAAUCCCAAAAAGCUGGUCUCAGUUCGGAUUGGGGUCUGCAACUCGACCCCAUGAAGUCGGAGUCGCUAGUAAUCGCAGAUCAGCAACGCUGCGGUGAAUACGUUCCCGGGCCUUGUA